UAUUACCGCGGCUGCUGGGGCCGGAUGGGUUGAUCGGCAAGUACCGCAAGGCCCAUUUAUGGAACCUGGAGAAGCUCUGGUUCACCCCUGGCAACCUGGGUUUUCCGGUGUUUGAAACGCCUAUCGGGCGGAUUGGCCUGUUGAUCUGCUGGGACAUCUGGUUCCCGGAAGUACCACGUCUGCUCAGCCAGCAGCCGCGGUAAUA
This 205-nucleotide ribosomal RNA is filed under the name uncultured bacterium. RNAcentral's name for it is "partial 16S ribosomal RNA". The record is from RNAcentral.